GCUAGAGAGAGGGCCACAGAGAGAGAGAGAGGGAGGGCUAUAGAGGGAGAGAGAGAGAGGGAGGUCUAGAGGGAGAGAGAGAGGGAGGGAUGUGUGUAGAGAGAGAGAGAGAGAGAGAGAGAGAGAGAGAGGGAUGUGUGGAGAGAGAGGGUAGGAACGGAGUCUUCAGUAAGGAGAUUCUUCAGAACAGGACGAAGGCAGCUGGCCGUUCCUCUUCCUCUUCUUCAUCCUCUUCCAUCUUGCCUGGAGCCGCCCCUCCUCUCCCGUCCCACAGCAGGUCUAUACAUGGUCAUGGAGUAGGAUCUUCUCCUCGUCACAAAUCAAGCGGAGACGGCCCUGGGCGAGCGUGCACUGCCAGGAGCAGAAGAGAGCGAGAAGACCAAGGACCAUGGUGGAGGGACAGAGGCUUGGAGUAGAGAGCGAGAGACAUUAAAAGCAGAACAAGACGACCUAGAAGCAGCAAAAUAGCAGGCAGGAGGAGCGAAAGAGAGACAUCCAUAGUCUACAGAGAGAGAGAGAUAGAGGGAGAGAGACAUCCGUAGUCUACAUAGAGAGCGAGAGAUAUUAGAGGGAGAGAGAGAGAGACAUCACUGUCUACAGAUAGAGGGAGAGAGUGAGGGGCAGUAGGGUCGUUAUGUCUAUCCUCCUACUUCAUGGACCAUCAUCCCAUUUGUAUACGAUUGCAGAAAGCUGACGUGUUUGCCUCAAAGAAAGAGAGAGUGAGAGGGAAAGAGAGAUUCAUAGAGAGAAAACGAGAGAGAGACAUCCAUUGCCUUCAGAAAGAGGGAGAGAAUUCACGUUUAACAUUUGAGAUCCGUGAGGAAGAUGAUGUGUGUUCUUCUGGUCGUCCGUGAUUGGACAGAUCAUCCAUGGUUCUUGUACAUGUGAGGUCAUGUAUGAUGACAUGUGUACGAUGCACACCAGGGUCGCUAGGGAAACCAGGGUUACAUAGCAGGUCUAGCUACCAGGUGGAACCCGCUCCGAUUACUACCUUAGUAAUCUAAGGUUGUAUGAGUAGUUAUAGUUAGUCACUCCGUAGUUAGAUCUUUAGUCACUGCAUUAGUUAGUUGUCCUAGUUAAUUAUAGUUUGCUCUAGUUAGUUGUUGGUUGUAGUUGGUCUCCUUGGAUUAGAGCUGGUUAGUCUACUGAGCUGAGAUGAUAGGGACAUUAGAUCUUCUACACUACAUGUGGUCCACAGAAGGUCUCCUAACACUCUAGCAGACAGACAGACAGACAGACAGACGGACAGACAGACAGACAGACAGCGCUCUCCUUCACCAUGAGGUCCAACCCCUGUGCUCCCUGGAGCAGCGCAGCACUCGAGGUUCAGCAGUAAAGAGCUGCUGGAGAGGACCCUCCACCCGAAGACGCCUCUCGCCCGGCCUCAGCUCUCCAGUCCGGCA
RNAcentral lists this long non-coding RNA (1403 nucleotides) under Gadus morhua (Atlantic cod). RNAcentral describes it as "lncRNA (ENSGMOG00000024222.1)". Lineage: Eukaryota; Metazoa; Chordata; Actinopteri; Gadiformes; Gadidae. The record is from RNAcentral.